GGACUUCAAUUGUUGGUUAUAGUCUAACCAAGAAGAGUCAAAUAGUCAAACUCCAAUAAGGAAAUACAGAAAUAAAGAAUUAUAAGCAUAUAGAGUGUAACACCGCAAUAUGACACAAAUAAGAGAAAAUGUUGGACCAGUUCAAAAUCACUAGCGAAACAACAAAAGUACGACACCCAACGAUGCCAGUGUAUCUCACCAGGGCCGGCCCUAUUGGAGUUCAACCGGUGCUUAAGAACAGGGCCCACCAAGACAUAAGGGCCCAAUUUUUUCCCUUUGUUAGUGUUAUGCUAACUUUACUGCUUACAUAUUGCUGGAACUAGAAGAAGAGGCCGACGCACACAAGCAGGAAAUCAAAAAAUCGAGGGGAAAACACGCUUCGAUUCUUGAACGCGUGCCUACUAUCGAAGGGUCUACAAUCAUCGACAGAAGUACUUCAGAGCCUAAGGGCAAAGGCAAGGCGUGAUGACGUGGCGUGCACUCUACCUCUCUUUUUGUGUGAUUGGGACUCUCUGAUGUUUUUAAAAAGUACAAUGAAUUUGUAAUAAUUAUGAAUUGGAAAACAAAUGGUUUGGAAACUUAUGGAUUAUGGGAUGUGCUUGAUUAAUUAAAAAUGAAAAAAAAAUCUUGGUAAGAAUUGGGUCAUUACAAGUUGAUAUCAGAGCCUUGGUUUGAGGGAUUCGGACACAUU
Long non-coding RNA from Lactuca sativa (garden lettuce), 691 nucleotides. RefSeq lists it as uncharacterized. The record is from RefSeq and is a predicted model, not a curated record. Lineage: Eukaryota; Viridiplantae; Streptophyta; Magnoliopsida; Asterales; Asteraceae.